AACGAACGCUGGCGGCAUGCCUAACACAUGCAAGUCGAACGAGACCUCCGGGUCUAUUGGCCCACGGGGGCGUAACCCGUGGGAACCUUCCCUUGGGUUCGGAAUAACUCCCCGAAAGGGGUGCUAAUACCGGAUAAUGUCUUCGGACCAAAGAUUUAUCGCCUUUGGAUGGGCCCGCGUUGGAUUAGCUAGUUGGUAGGGUAAAAGCCUACCAAGGCGACGAUCCAUAGCUGGUAUGAGAGGAUGAUCAGCCACACUGGGACUGAGACACGGCCCAGAAUCCUACGGGAGGCAGCAGUGGGGAAUAUUGGACAAUGGGCGAAAGCCUGAUCCAGCAAUGACGCGUGAGUGAUGAAGGCCUUAGGGUUGUAAAGCUCUUUUACCCGGGAUGAUAAUGACAGUACCGGGAGAAUAAGCUCCGGCUAACUCCGUG
This 433-nucleotide ribosomal RNA is filed under the name uncultured bacterium. RNAcentral's name for it is "partial 16S ribosomal RNA". It matches the Rfam family "Bacterial small subunit ribosomal RNA", at positions 29 to 507 of the family's 1533-position model. The record is from RNAcentral.